CGAGACGGCCAGAUGAUCGCGGCUGGAAACAGCUGAGGAAAGUCCGGGCUCCACAGAGCAGGGUGGUGGGUAACGCCCACCCGGGGUGACCCGCGGGACAGUGCCACAGAAAACAGACCGCCCAGCAAUGGGUAAGGGUGAAACGGUGGUGUAAGAGACCACCAGCGCUCCGGGUGACCGGAGCGGCUAGGUAAACCCCACUCGGAGCAAGACCAAGAAGGCCGGCCCCAGGGCCGGCUGCGGACACCGUUCGAGCGCUGCUCGCGCGAGGUGUCCGGGUAGGUUGCAUGAGCGCACCGGCAACGGUGGGCCUCAGAUAGAUGAUCAUCCGUCGACAGAACCCGGCUUACCGGCCGUCUCGUCCC
Non-coding RNA from Tessaracoccus sp. ZS01, 365 nucleotides. It matches the Rfam family "Bacterial RNase P class A". From Rfam's summary of the family: Ribonuclease P (RNase P) is a ubiquitous endoribonuclease, found in archaea, bacteria and eukarya as well as chloroplasts and mitochondria. Its best characterised activity is the generation of mature 5'-ends of tRNAs by cleaving the 5'-leader elements of precursor-tRNAs. Cellular RNase Ps are ribonucleoproteins. The record is from Rfam. NCBI's taxonomy places the organism in Bacteria, Bacillati, Actinomycetota, Actinomycetes, Propionibacteriales, Propionibacteriaceae.